Molecule: long non-coding RNA, 4765 nt
Organism: Homo sapiens (human)
Lineage: Eukaryota; Metazoa; Chordata; Mammalia; Primates; Hominidae
Exons: 3
Source: RefSeq, a predicted model, not a curated record
UGUCAGAAAAAUCAAUAUAAACUUAAAGGCAAAAUCAUUAAAUAGAAUAGAGGUUUAUCAACCAUUAAUAUAAGACAAAAUCACCAAGAAGAUAUAAUAAUAGUGAGCCUUCACAUACCAAACAACAUAGUGUUACAAUAUAUAAAUGCUAAACUGUCAGAAACACAAGAAUUUGAGAAAAACUCAACCAUCAUAGGAGACCUGAAAACUCCUUUCUCAGGAUUUAGGAAGUGAGAGAACAUUUUAGCAAACUGAGAAAAUACUUUUUUAAAAAAUUGGAUCACCUAUAGCCAUGAAAGAAAGUUUCAAUAAAUUCCCCCAAAAUGUAGGUCAUAAAGAUCACACUCUCGGCUGGGUGUGGUGGCUCACGCCUGUAAUCCCAACACUUUGGGAGGCCAAGGCAGGCAGAUCACCUGAGGUCAGGAGUUCGAGACCAGUCUGGCCAACAUGGUGAAAUCCCAUCUCUACCAAAAAUACAAAAAUUAGCCAGGCAUGGUGGCGGCUAAUCCCAGUUAUUCAGGAGGCUGAGGCAGGAGAAUCUCUUGAACCCAGGAGGCGGAGGUUGCAGUGGGCUGAGAUCACACCACUGCACUUCAGCCUGGGCAACAGAGUAAGACUCUGCCUCAAAAAAAAAAAAAAACAAAAAAACAAAAAACAUUCUCUGAAUGCUAGAAAGCAAGUCUCCUGUGGUCAGCAAUCUUACCAGUUUUAUUUACCUUCAUGCUUCAGCACCCAACACAUUGUUCAGCAAAAAGCAGGGAUCCAUAAGAAUUUGUUACAUAGGAAGAAGGUUAGGCUGUCAAUAAAACUUAAAGACAACAUGAAAAAGAUAUCCUCCUCCCAAUAUGAUCUCUUACAAAUUUUUAUAGCACUCUUGAAAAUAAUUCUUGUGUCAAAGAGAAAACAAAUAUGCAAAUGAGAGCCUGUUUAGCAAUAAAGCACUGUCUUCAAAUGUAUAGGUUUACUUUUUUGAGAGAAUAUACAAUCUCAAAUGCAUUUCUUGGGAAACACAAAAGAUUAAAAAUAAAGGAAACUGAGCAUUCCACUGAAGAAGGGAGAAACAGUAGAAAAAUGAAAGGGGAAAUCAUAAAAUGAAAACAAAAUAAUUAACUAGACAACAAGGGAAAUCAAUAUACCUAAGAAACUGAAAAACAAAUAAAAAAACUUCAAAUCUGACCAUGAAAAAUAUAGAAAAUACUGAUAAAGCAUAUUAGGAAUAAUAAAAGGGCUCUGUGGCUCAGGCUGGAGUGCAGUGACACAAUCACAGCUCACUGCAGCCUCCACCUCCUGGGCUCAAGCGAUCCUCCACCUCAGCCUCCUGAGUAGCUGGGAGUAACUGGCACGCACAACCACGUCUCGCUAAUUUUUGUAUUUUUUUGUAGAGAUGGGGUUUCACCAGGUUGCUCAGGCUGGUCUCGAACUCCUGAGCCCAAGUGAUCCCCCCUGGCCUUGGCCUCCCAGAGUGCUGAGAUUGCACAGGUGAGGCACUGCACCCAGCCGAGUCUUUUUAAUAACUAGAAUAACACUGUGCUUACCUUUAUAGUAAGUUUAACAUUUAAAGGAAAUGGAUGACUCUCUCAGAAAAUAUAAGCAAAACAGACUCAAGAAGAAGUAACAUCAUCUUGGUUGGUCGGUAUUUUGUAAACACAUUUCCCCAGUCUUUUGUUUACCUGUUGAUUUUGUUUAUCAUGCCAUAUAUAAUUUCUCCUUCCCCCAAAUUAUGCAAAUAUUAUCCUAUAAUUCUUCCUUAUAAUUUACAGUUUUAUUUUUUAUUUUAUUUUAUUUUGAGAUGGAGUCUUGCUCUAUCGCCCAGGCUGGAGUGCAGUGGCGCGGUCUCAGCUCACUGCAAGCUCCGCCUCCCAGGCUCAGCCAUUCUCCUGCCUCAGCCUCCCAAGUAGCUGGGACUACAGGUGUGUGCCACAAUGCCCGGCUAAUUUUUUUUUUUUUUAAUUUUAGUAGAGAUGGGGUUUCACCGUGUUAUCCAGGAUGGUCUCGAUCUCCUGACCUCGUGAUCUGCCCGGUUUGGCCUCCCAAAGUGCUGGGAUUACAGGUGUGAGCCACCGCACCCAGCCAGUUUUAUUUUUUUGUUAAGCUCUUCAAUUAUUUUUGUUGUGAGAUUGGGGUCUACCCUUAUUUUCUUCCAAACAGAUAAUCCACUUACUUGAUAUCAUUAACCCCUGCCUGGCACGACCUCCUGAUCCCCAGUGACCCAAGAAGCAAGUUGUGUUUGCUGAUGCAAAGGGGCUCUUGUUGGCAUCGGUGCACAGAGACGGGAUCUCACCAUCUUGCCCAGGCUGGUCUCCUAACUCCUGGGCUCAAGCGAGCCUCCCACCUUGGCCUCCCGAGUAGCUGGGACCUACUGAGUCAUACUUGUAGUCACAUCCUUUUCCUUUCUCCAACCCACUGGUUAAUCAUGAAAGGCUCUUCUGAUUGGCUGCCUCCUGGCAGUAGUGCCUCAGCGCGACGGUUCGGGAGCAAAUAAAUAAUUCCCGCUGGGAAGCUGUUUCUCAGACAGGAGCAGCGACACCCCUGCCACGCCUGCCGCCUGGAGUUGAGUGGGGUCCCCGUGCCGCCUUCAGCGCGCCUCCUUAUGCACCUCUACCUCUGCUGCAGCGUACCUCUUCCGCAGCCCUAGCGGCCUCCCCGAGGGGCGCCGCGGCCUCGGCUGUCCCUCCCCUGCCUGGCACGACCACCUGACCCCCAGCGACCCAAGAAGCAAGUUGUGUUUGCAGACGCAAAGGGGCUGUCGUUGGUAUCGGUGCACUGGUUUGAAGCCACUGCGGGCACAGCCUGAAGAGGGCCGGUGUCCCGCGUGCAGCCUCCCCGGCCCGGCCUCCUCCUGCUGCAGAACCGCCCCCCACGCCCGGGCUGCUGCGCCCCAGGAGGGACUAGCGGGUAUUCAGGGAUGCCCGCACUCUCGGGGGCGAGCCUGCAGCUGUGUGCCCUGUAGGGGCUUCCUGCGGGGCACCGUGAGCGCAGGUGGGGACAAGCGGGCCGUGCAGAUGCGCACCCCCUGGAUGCCUGGGGCUCCUUCCAACAAGAGCCCUGUGUUGGAAUGCCGGGUCCCCGCCGAGGUGAGAGGGUCGGCUUCGCCUUCCAGGUGGUGUUGCCGCCGAGUACCCUGGCCCCGCGGGCCACCGUCCAGUUCUGCUUCUCUUUAGAGCGUGCUCAGCGGCCUUUCGGGGACAGUAAUCAAAGGCAAAACUACAGCUGGGUGCCGGGUUCGCCGUCCUGCUCAUCAGAAUGAAGCCAGGCUCUGUGAGGGCGCACAGACAGACAGGCUGAGGCCUCUGCGCCUGCCUUUUCCACCUGGGCAAAGCGUGAUUUCUUGUCCAGGACGCGCGUGUUUCCCAUGUCGGGGAACUUUGCUCAAUCUGUUUUCUUGCUCCUGAAUUCAUAAUGGGGAAACAGGACUGAUUCAACUCCUAGUCCCUGCAGAAGGCCUCGAAUGCCUUGCAUUCUUCUCUCACUUCCUGACUACAAGGGAUGAGGUUUUGCUUUAGGAAGAUUCUGGGAAUGGAGUCGGGAAACCGAAGAAAUGCAAAUAAAGUAUUUAUAUGUAAUUAUUGAAAGGGCUUAGCAGAGAGUGUCUAAGGACCGUGGGUGGUGUGUGCGUGCGCAUGUGUGUAUGUUUGUGUGUGUAUUGCAGAGGUUGGGGAGGGGUUCUUUACGUUAAAGAUGGGAGAGAGAACUUUGCCCUUCUACUUUCCUCUCCAUCUAGGAAGGGCUACUUUCCUGGUAACUUGAAAUAGUCAGGCUUAUUCCACUUUUGCCAAAAGGAAUGUUCAUUAAAGCAUCUUCAACAGUUGAUAUAAUAAACACUUUUUCUCCCUCUUCAUCAUAUAAAAGUGUGGGGAGACUCUGUCUCUGUUCAUUUCAAAAUAUGGGUACUUUUAAAAACACUUAUUUUCAGUAGUUUAGUACACUUUAAUUUUUAAUUUUAAUUUUUAUUAUUAUUUUUUAGACAGUAUCUCCUCAUGUUGUCCAAACUGGUCUUGAACUCCUGGGUUCAACUGGUCCUCCUGCCUAAGGAUCACUCAGAGUGUUGGGAUUACAGGUGUGAGCCAUGGUGCCUGGGUACUACUUUUUUUUUUUUUUUUUUUUUGAGAUGGAGUCUCACCUUGUCACCCAGGUUGGAGUGCAAUGGUGCCAUAUCAGCUCACUGCAAUCUCCACCUCCUGGGUUCAAAUUAUUCUCCUGCCUCAGCCUCCUGUGUAGCUGCGAUUAUAGGCACCUGCCACCAUGCACUGCUAUUUUUUAUAUCUUUAGUAGAGACGGGGUUUCAUCAUGUUGGCCAGGCUGGUCUCAAACUGCUGACCUCGUGAUCCUCCCACCUUGGCCUCCCAAAGUGCUGGGAUUACAGGCGUGAGCCAACACACCCGGCUGCUACUACUUCUUUGAAUGCAAUUUACCUAGACCCAGAAACCUGACCUUUGCCCCCACGGCCCCCAUAGCUCCCCAUUAUGUAUUGAUGGUCCGGUAUUGAAAGCAUCCACUGAAGUGUUUGCCUCCCCCAGGAUGGGAGAAAGUGAGGACAAGUUGGCCUUGGACACAGCCGGCCGCAGGCUGGCCACCCCCCUGGAGCUCAGAACAUAUGGAUUAGAAUAAUAUAUGUGAAUGUGUGCCAAGUAUGCCUCUAGCUUCAAUUUACAGUGUUCUGAGAGCUUUAGAUGUUGGAAGGCUUUAACCUCUUUUCAGGGACUCUUCAUUCUUCGAUUAUUAUUCAUAGAUGACAAAUUUUAAAUAAAAGAUUUCUUUUUGUACA